AAUCGAGUUCUUUUUAGCAAAUUGGACAUACGGCGUCUUGGUUUUCAUGGGAUGUAGCUGCAAUACAGCAAGACCGAUUGCAUAAGCCCAUUGAAGUAAAUCCCUAAA
This 108-nucleotide non-coding RNA is filed under the name unclassified sequences. RNAcentral's name for it is "cow-rumen-2 RNA". It matches the Rfam family "cow-rumen-2 RNA". Rfam says of the family: cow rumen metagenome. The record is from Rfam by way of RNAcentral.